GUUGAGUCUGAAUGUUGGAUGUUGUGUAUCUCGUGUUCUCUGGGCUUUGUUGUCCUCAGUCUUUUGCAGGAUCAGAAAACAAAACCAGGAUGACCAUAAAUGUUUCUUCUCCAAUUGGAUGAUGAUAAGACUGUGACACGGGAUGCCACCUUUAGUCUUGUGAUGAAGCAAAGCUCAGGAAGAAGUGUGAUUAAAUGGUACCCACAUGUGUGCUGCUGAGAAGGAUGUACAGGGGCACCUGCAGCCAAAUCCAAGCCUCCUCAGAGCAGAGCAGCAGUUUGUGCUCACAGAUGGUGACGGUGUGGAGAGACGGUGGUGUUUCCUCAGAAGAACUAGCAGAGUCACAAAGGGCACGAGUCCAUCUCACCACCUUGACUUGUUGAUCAGUGGAUACACUUGUCUCCCCUUUAAAGGAGAUACUCUUAGAGAGAGACGAUCAGAGUCAUCCUUAAAUAUGGGCAGGAUAUCACUAUUGGACUGUCUAACCUGCAGGAGCAGCACUGAAUGACCACCACACAUGAUCAGUUCCUGCAACAUUCAGCAGCUCUGCUUUUGUGUCAAAUGUCGAACAGCUGGAGAGGAAACUACACCAGUGUACUGGGAUGUUUCACCAACACGUGCCAGACGCUGUUCCUUCAUGGUGACAUCACCAGAGACGGCCCCGCCCACCUCAGGACCUCGCCAUUGAUCAUGAUGAUUUUAAUGAUGACAGCGAGCGGAACUAAGACUGUAAAAAUCAGAAUGUUUAGAUGCUUUCUAAUUAUUCAUGAAUACUGAGAGCCUCUUUCUGUGUUUUGUCUGUUUUGUUUUUUACCUCAUUUGUUACUAACAAAGUUCACCAAACUCACACAGUUUACAUUCUGUAUGUUUCCAUCUUUACCAGCCACAGUCUACCCGCAAUU
Oreochromis aureus is the source of this 902-nucleotide long non-coding RNA. NCBI's taxonomy places the organism in Eukaryota, Metazoa, Chordata, Actinopteri, Cichliformes, Cichlidae. The record is from Ensembl.